Molecule: long non-coding RNA, 2444 nt
Filed under: Heterocephalus glaber (naked mole-rat)
Lineage: Eukaryota; Metazoa; Chordata; Mammalia; Rodentia; Bathyergidae
Description: lncRNA (ENSHGLG00000033973.1)
Source: RNAcentral
AGAGAUUGAACUCAGGACCUUACGCUUGCGACACAGGCGGUGGCACCACUGAGCUAAAUCCUCGGCCCUUCUGAUUUCUGAUUUUAGAUUGUUCACCACCAUGGCAUUCCUUAACCACAAUGUACGAGGUCUUUUCCUGUUGCUAGUAACACAAUACCAGAAUAGGUAAGGAACAAGAAAAACAUGUUUAUUUUGGCUCACGGUUUGGAAGAGGGAGGUUGAGGGGCCCCAUCUGGUGCUGGGCUUCAUGCUGGGAGGAGAGUAGAGCCAAGCGAGCAUGUGUGCGUCCUGCCCGCCUCUCCUUCCCAGGGUCCCUGAGGUCCUACCCCUCCCGAGCUCACCCAACCUGCCCAUCUCCCUCUCCCAAGGGGGCCAAUUUUAACCUCACAGUGGGGACUCAAUUUCCAUGUGCAUUUCAGGGGAGCAAAGCAUAUUCAAACCAGGGCAAGUGUUUUGUUUCCGUCAAUGCAUUUUACAGCCAGAUGUCUGAGCUUUCAGGCUUUCACAUAAGGACAAGCGAGGAGCCCAACUGGAAGAAGACGGAAGACAGAAAGACUGCACAGGCAGCUCACCCUGGAGAGCUGGGCUCUCUCUUCCCCUACACUUCGCAUCAUAAAGUGAAAUAAAGGCUUAGUUGCCUGGCCUGGUAGGGCAGGCCUGUGCUCCCAGCAUUCCGCCUGAAGCAGGAGGAGCCUCCUUCCAGAGUGCUUGGAUCACAGGUGUGCACCACCACCCCUGGCCUCAGAGCUGUUCUGCAACCAGAGAGGGGCUCGUGACUCCGGCCCAGCUCCCCUCAUGGCUCUGGGUGGACAACACAGACAGGCCUAGGGUGGGGACCGCCACCCCUGGCUAGCAAUUCCAGGGUGGUCUCCAGGGAGCCGGCGGCUCACAGGCCUGGGAGCAGAGUCUUCCUGGAGCCCAGUCCCCAGGGUACGUGGGAAAUGGCAGGGUGUGCAGCUUUGAUGCUCAUUUCUUCUUAGAAAACCACCAUGUCAGGCCGGGGGAGCCCAACCAUGCGUCACGGGGACACAGGGCUCAGAGAGGGCAGAGCAGCCAGAUGCCCCGAUAAUCUGGUUAGAGCUGAGGUGGCCUGGCCUGGGGAGGAAGGAGGCUGCAGGGAGAGCUCUUCCCGCAAGACCCAGGGGAACCAGCCAGUCACAUCCAGCCUGCAGGAGGGAUUGCCCUUCUGGUCUGCAGAGGAAGAAGCUAAAGUCUGAAUGGCCCACAAGUCUUGGCCUGGCUGGCACCGCCCCCUUUCCCAUGGAGUCCCACACCCAGAGCCCCCUGUUGGACCCCCUUCUGAUCCCUUACCAGGCUCCCCUGCUAGGCUGAGUCACUUCCUGGGGACCUGCUGCAGCUGACCAGAAGUGCUCUGGGCACAGACUGGCACUGGCUCAGGGUCUCCUUCUGUACCCCAGGAUGGCCUUGAACUCAAGGCUAUCCUCCUGCCUCAGCAUCCAGAAUGCAGAGAUUGCAGAUGCGUGCCACCACGCCCGCGUGCCAGAGAAGUGGUCUCUAGCCUGAGGCGAUCAGCAGCCCCUACAGAGAACAAGAGCCACCCAGAGUGGGGGCAUCAGAGCCCCGAGACUUGGCUAGAACCUUCCCUGGACAGAAUCUUCGUUCUGUGUGGGGAGGGAGGUUGAGACAACAGGCACUAAGGUAGGCACACGGAGGAGCACCCGGGCCCUGCUAUUCAGGAACAAAAGGACAUGCAGCACAAACUUGGGCCCUCAGUGCCCUUAGUAUUGUACAUAGGUAAGUUAAUUAGUUAUCUUGUAGGCAGUUAGACAGGAGCCACCCUCACGGAGCCAACACAGCGAGGAGCCAACAUGGAGGACAACUGAGGCACAUUAACUGGUUAGCAUUAUAAAGAGAAGAGAAGUGGGCCGGGGAUUUAGCUCAGUGGUUCUGCCUCCUGCCCCGCAAGUGCAAGGAUCAGACUUUGAUCCCCGGUACCAAAAAAAAAAAAAAAAAAAAAAAAAAAAAAAAAAAAGAAGAAGAGCUCUACUUCCCCUAGAGAUAGCAGUGAUUGAUAUUCCAAAUGGGAAACUUCUCGUAUGUGACUUGUUUUCCCAUUUGAUCCCCAUUUAAUCAGUAUUACCUGGGUCACUGUACUGAAGGACCCUUGUUAGCAAGACAGACUCCAUAUUGCUGCUUGACCCACCUGCCUACCCUUUAGAUGAACUCAGAAGGAGGAAACUUAAAAACCUCCUCCCCUUGGAGAGUCUCUUUAGAAAUAACAGUUAAUCAACUAUUGUUUUAUAAAUGUUCUAACAGCAGGACGUUCUGCUUCUGUACCUUUUGAUUGCUUUACUAGUUCUAUCCCUUAGGGGGCCCUAGAAACUGUAGGCCUCAAAGGUGUAUAAAAUAUGUUAAUCUUCCCCCAGUUGGGCUGAAGUCCGCUGCUCGGUCCCGGCUGGUAAUAAACUCCUGUGUGGAUUUAA